UCAGUUCAGAUCGUAGGCUGCAACUCGCCUACGUGAAGUAGGAAUCGCUAGUAAUCGCAGGUCAGCAUACUGCGGUGAAUACGUCCCCGGGCCUUGUACACACCGCCCGUCACACCAUGGAAGUUGGCCAUGCCCGAAGUCGUUACUCCAACCCUUGUGGAGGAGGGCGCCGAAGGUGGGGCUAAUGACUGGGGUGAAGUCGUAACAAGGUAGCCGUACCGGAAGGUGCGGCUGGAUCACCUCCUAA
This 247-nucleotide ribosomal RNA is filed under the name uncultured cyanobacterium. RNAcentral's name for it is "partial 16S ribosomal RNA". It matches the Rfam family "Bacterial small subunit ribosomal RNA", at positions 1288 to 1533 of the family's 1533-position model. Lineage: Bacteria; Bacillati; Cyanobacteriota. The record is from RNAcentral.